Molecule: long non-coding RNA, 991 nt
Organism: Zingiber officinale
Lineage: Eukaryota; Viridiplantae; Streptophyta; Magnoliopsida; Zingiberales; Zingiberaceae
Exons: 3
Source: RefSeq, a predicted model, not a curated record
UUCACGUCGAUCUCCUUCUCCUCUUCUCCGAUCUUUUUGUUUUCCCUCUUCCUUAUCUUCUCCUUCUCCGAUCCUUUCCCUCAUCUUGCCGCCGACUAUCACAGCCCAAUGUCGGGUGUCAAUCACCGUGCCACUCCAACUUGCGAGACGUCGACGCUGCCAGCAAUCAACGCCAUCGGCCAGGAGGGAUAUGUCGUCGCUGAGUCUCUCCCUCUCAUCCGAUUAUGCUGUAUUGCCCCAACCGAUCAUUGCCGACCAUCAUGGUCCGACGCCGGUCGCCAACCACCAUGGCCCUACCGCAAGACAUGCUGCUAGGCGUCGACUACCUCCACCGCAACCACUUCUAUGCCCUAGCUUUGACCAAUCGCCGAGAGGGUGGAGUUGGUGAAGGGGGUGAGGGCAAACUCUUCACCUCGCUUGCGGAUCCGAGCAGAGCAGCGAUGAUUCGAUCAGGGAGGCUCAUCACCUCCUCUUCAUCAGAUUUAUGGUGCCUUCUUCUUGCCGGCAUAGAUCUGUUACCGACCAUUUGAUCUCCUUUUCUAUCUUCCCUGAUGUAUCGUAAAGCCAUAGCUCCUUCAGCCAUUAUGAGAGGUUAGAUCCGACAGCGGCCAACCCUAAUCAGUGCUACUCCAGCCGCAGGGAACCACCAGAGAGGAAAAAGGGGAUUUGUGUUGAGAUCCACGGCUGCACUAUUAAGUCCGGCCAUGAAUCCUCGGUAGCAAGCUCCUCCGGCUGAGUCAACAUCGAAGUCUUUGGAUUUGGGUUAGCACAUAGAUAUGUCAUGUUGCUUAGAGUAUCCUGUCUGCCGAUCCCACGUCACAUCAGAAGACGGUUUACCUCACUCUUGAUUUCUUUUAUAUAAUUUUUAUUGAUUUAGCAUUAUAUUGGUGUUUAGCCUUGUGACUAUUUUAUUAUUUUUGGUGUUGUAUUUGUGUCUAAGCUGUGCCGACACAUUGUGUUGUUUUGGUUGUAUGAGCUUCUUGUUUGUUUU